Molecule: transfer RNA, 72 nt
Filed under: Camelus bactrianus (Bactrian camel)
Lineage: Eukaryota; Metazoa; Chordata; Mammalia; Artiodactyla; Camelidae
Also listed under: 1 other name
Rfam family: tRNA
About the family: Transfer RNA (tRNA) molecules are approximately 80 nucleotides in length. Their secondary structure includes four short double-helical elements and three loops (D, anti-codon, and T loops). Further hydrogen bonds mediate the characteristic L-shaped molecular structure. tRNAs have two regions of fundamental functional importance: the anti-codon, which is responsible for specific mRNA codon recognition, and the 3' end, to which the tRNAs corresponding amino acid is attached (by aminoacyl-tRNA synthetases). tRNAs cope with the degeneracy of the genetic code in two manners: having more than one tRNA (with a specific anti-codon) for a particular amino acid; and 'wobble' base-pairing, i.e. permitting non-standard base-pairing at the 3rd anti-codon position.
Source: Rfam by way of RNAcentral
GCGUGUACAGCUCAGUGGUAGAGUGUGUGCUUAGCAUGCACAAGGUCCUGGGUUCAAUCCCCAGUACCUCCA